AGGGCACCACCAGGAGUGGAGCCUGCGGCUUAAUUUGACUCAACACGGGAAAACUCACCCGGCCCGGACACUGGAAGGAUUGACAGAUUGAGAGCUCUUUCUCGAUUCGGUGGGUGGUGGUGCAUGGCCGUUCUUAGUUGGUGGAGUGAUUUGUCUGGUUAAUUCCGAUAACGAACGAGACUCUAGCCUAUUAAAUAGAUCGUUGGCUUACAAACGCCGGCGAGACUUCUUAGAGGGACAGGCGGCGAUUCAGCCGCACGAAACAGAGCAAUAACAGGUCUGUGAUGCCCUUAGAUGUCCGGGGCCGCACGCGCGCUACACUGAAGUGAUCAGCGUGCAUUUUGAAACCUACUCUGUCAAGAGUGGGGAACCCAAUGAACCUUCUUCGUGAUUGGGAUAGGGGAUUGUAAUUAUUCCCCUUGAACGAGGAAUUCCCAGUAAGCGCGAAUCAUAAGUUUGCGCUGAUUACGUCCCUGCCCUUUGUACACACCGCCCGUCGCUACUACCGAUUGAAUGUUU
RNAcentral lists this ribosomal RNA (519 nucleotides) under uncultured eukaryote. RNAcentral's name for it is "SSU rRNA". It matches the Rfam family "Eukaryotic small subunit ribosomal RNA", at positions 1161 to 1698 of the family's 1831-position model. The record is from RNAcentral.